Molecule: unclassified non-coding RNA, 204 nt
Filed under: soil metagenome
Description: partial contains 5.8S ribosomal RNA, internal transcribed spacer 2, and large subunit ribosomal RNA
Source: RNAcentral
AACAAGGCGUACCUGCGGACCUGCGGAGGGAUCAUUACCGAGUUUACAACUCCCAAACCCCUGUGAACAUACCUAUACGUUGCCUCGGCGGAUCAGCCCGCGCCCCGUAAAACGGGACGGCCCGCCCGAGGACCCUAAACUCUGUUUUUAGUGGAACUUCUGAGUAAAACAAACAAAUAAAUCAAAACUUUUAACAACGGAUCU